UGGAGAAGAGAUGAGGCCUGGAUUGAGCCCUGGUCGCCUGACUCCAGAACCCACGUUCUGAAAUUCUCCGCACUUUUACUCCAGGUGCAGCCUGGUACGCACUUAGAGAAAACCUGGAUGGAGAAGAUUAAGAAACUGAAGCUCAAAGGGGGACUUGACUUGUCUAAAAUCACACGGCAAGGAAUUGGUGGAGCUGGGAUUGGAACCCAGGCAUACUUGACUCCAGAGUUGUUUAACCAGAACCACACACCUGACCCCGCCAGCUGACCACAGAAUUGUUCACAAUAGCCAAAAGAAGGAAGCAACUCACGUAUCUAUUGAUGGAUGAAUGGAUAAGCAAAAUGUGGUGUAGACAUGCAAUGGACUAUUAUUCGGCCUUAAAAAGAAAGGAAAUUCUGACAGUUGCUACAACAUGGAUGAACCUUGCACACAUUGUGCUAAGUCAGCCCCACGGAUCCAUUUAAUUAUGUAUGGGUUGAAUGAAUGAAUGCAGUAAUCAAGUGACAGUCCAUCAGUGUCUGCUUUCAGAGCCACUAGUACUACAUGACCACAGUCAUUGCCACAGUUGGAAUGGGGAUGAAGACUCCUCACUGGGCUCCUGCAUGGAUAUGUCUGGGUUUAAUGGGCUGUAUUCUAAUUUGUGAUUCUUUCAUAAAGCGUCCC
Molecule: long non-coding RNA, 663 nt
Organism: Eptesicus fuscus (big brown bat)
Lineage: Eukaryota; Metazoa; Chordata; Mammalia; Chiroptera; Vespertilionidae
Exons: 4
Source: RefSeq, a predicted model, not a curated record